AGCAGCCGCGGUAAUUCCAGCUCCAAUAGCGUAUAUUAAAGUUGUUGCAGUUAAAAAGCUCGUAGUUGAAUUUCGGGAUCAAUAUGUUGGUCGUGCCUCGGUACGUACUAGCUUAUUGGUUUCUCCUUUCUGAAGAACCAUGAUGUCAUUUAUUUGGUGUCGUGGGGAAUCAGGACUGUUACUUUGAAAAAAUUAGAGUGUUUAAAGCAGGCUCACGCUUGAAUACAUUAGCAUGGAAUAAUGAAAUAGGACGUUUGAUUCUAUUUUGUUGGUUUCUAGGAUCGACGUAAUGAUUAAUAGGGAUAGUUGGGGGUAUUAGUAUUCAAUUGUCAGAGGUGAAAUUCUUGGAUUUAUUGAAGACUAACUACUGCGAAAGCAUUUGCCAAGGAUGUUUUCAUUAAUCAAGAACGAAAGUUAGGGGAUCGAAGACGAUCAGAUACCGUCGUAGUCUUAACCAUAAACUAUGCCGACUAGGGAUCGGAUGAUGUUAAUUUUUU
This 497-nucleotide unclassified non-coding RNA is filed under the name uncultured Glomus. Its description in RNAcentral is "SSU rRNA". It matches the Rfam family "Eukaryotic small subunit ribosomal RNA", at positions 569 to 1072 of the family's 1831-position model. Lineage: Eukaryota; Fungi; Glomeromycota; Glomeromycetes; Glomerales; Glomeraceae. The record is from RNAcentral.